This 85-nucleotide transfer RNA is filed under the name Felis catus (domestic cat). It matches the Rfam family "tRNA". Rfam says of the family: Transfer RNA (tRNA) molecules are approximately 80 nucleotides in length. Their secondary structure includes four short double-helical elements and three loops (D, anti-codon, and T loops). The record is from Rfam by way of RNAcentral. Lineage: Eukaryota; Metazoa; Chordata; Mammalia; Carnivora; Felidae.
ACCUGGUUGGCUCAGUCGGUUAAGCGUCUGACUUCAGCUCAGGUCAUGAUCUCACUGUUCGUGAGUUCAAGCCCUGCAUCAGGCU